This 256-nucleotide ribosomal RNA is filed under the name uncultured bacterium. RNAcentral describes it as "partial 16S ribosomal RNA". It matches the Rfam family "Bacterial small subunit ribosomal RNA", at positions 524 to 779 of the family's 1533-position model. The record is from RNAcentral.
UACGACGGGUGCAAGCGUUAAUCGGAAUUACUGGGCGUAAAGCGCGCGUAGGUGGUUCGUUAAGUUGGAUGUGAAAGCCCCGGGCUCAACCUGGGAACUGCAUCCAAAACUGGCGAGCUAGAGUAUGGCAGAGGUGGGUGGAAUUUCCUGGGUAGCGGUGAAAUGCGUAGAUAUAGGAAGGAACACCAGUGUCGAAGGCGACCACCGGGGCUAAUACUUACACUUAGGUGCGAAAUCGGGGGGCGCAAACAGGAAU